RNAcentral lists this signal recognition particle RNA (100 nucleotides) under Leptolinea sp. Its description in RNAcentral is "signal recognition particle sRNA small type". It matches the Rfam family "Bacterial small signal recognition particle RNA". Rfam says of the family: The signal recognition particle (SRP) is a universally conserved ribonucleoprotein involved in the co-translational targeting of proteins to membranes. Archaeal SRP consists of a 7S RNA and homologues of the eukaryotic SRP19 and SRP54 proteins. The record is from RNAcentral. Lineage: Bacteria; Bacillati; Chloroflexota; Anaerolineae; Anaerolineales; Anaerolineaceae.
GGGUGGGACCGGCGCGGCAGAAUCUUUCGAACCCCGCCAGGUCUGAGAAGAAGCAACGGUAAGGAGGACACUCUGGGUGCCGCCGGGUUUCCUGCCCGAA